Long non-coding RNA from Carassius auratus (goldfish), 402 nucleotides. RefSeq lists it as uncharacterized. The record is from RefSeq and is a predicted model, not a curated record. The transcript is spliced from 4 exons. Lineage: Eukaryota; Metazoa; Chordata; Actinopteri; Cypriniformes; Cyprinidae.
CCGCCCCCUGCAGUUUGGUCCUGGUACUUCCGUACAGUGAAGAUCCAGGCUGAUCUCAGCGAUGUCAUGCUGCAAUUUACAGUUCCUUCUGCCAAACUUGUUUGAGUCAGCUGGUCACAUGUUUCUAGCUCUCAGAAUACUGCAAGCAUCUGCUGAUGGCUGAGAAUAACACACACUUCCUGGCAGACUUCCUGUCUCUGAUAGUGGAGCUCUCACCUGAAUCUGAUCACUUUUGGAUGAAUGCAGUAUUACAAACAGUGUCUCAUCCUGACUUCAGCUCUGAAAUCAAACCCAUCACACCUGAGAGAACUGGACCUGAGUGGAAAUAAAAUAGAAAACACAGGAGUGAAGCAUGUCUCUGAAACACUGAAGGAUGUACGCUGUAAACUGGAGAGAUUGAGG